UUCUGGUAUAAAAUAUGACGC
This 21-nucleotide non-coding RNA is filed under the name Caenorhabditis elegans. The record is from RNAcentral. Lineage: Eukaryota; Metazoa; Nematoda; Chromadorea; Rhabditida; Rhabditidae.